RNAcentral lists this long non-coding RNA (300 nucleotides) under Eutrema salsugineum. Its description in RNAcentral is "long non-coding RNA (ESAL_LNC001918)". Lineage: Eukaryota; Viridiplantae; Streptophyta; Magnoliopsida; Brassicales; Brassicaceae. The record is from RNAcentral.
GGAUUAACACUUUUUACCCACAGUUCUUUAGUGACAUAUAUAGGCCAUAACAAACAUGCAUAAAUACAUACAAGGUAUGCACAUAUUUAUAUGUAUAUAUUCAUUAGUCGUAUAGAAUGUUUAUUUAGAGAGACUUUUGAUGUUGGACAGUCUUAUCUAGAUGGUGUUGUCUUCCUGAGACUCGUCGAGAGGGAAACACGUCUCGUCACCGCCGGUGUUCCACAAGAAAUUAGCGUAAUUAGCGGCGUAGAAAGAGUUGGUCGGAUCGGCAUCGAUUGCUUCCAAGAAAGUCUCCUCAGC